Molecule: ribosomal RNA, 460 nt
Filed under: uncultured bacterium
Lineage: Bacteria
Description: partial 16S ribosomal RNA
Rfam family: Bacterial small subunit ribosomal RNA
Source: RNAcentral
CCUACGGGUGGCUGCAGUGAGUAAUAUUGGUCAAUGGGCGCGAGCCUGAACCAGCCAAGUAGCGUGAAGGAUGACUGCCCUACGGUUUGUACACUUCUUUUAUAAAGGACUAAAGUGAGGCACGUGUGCCUUUUUGUAUGUACUUUAUGAAUAAGGAUCGGCUAACUCCGUGCCAGCAGCGGCGUUAAUACGGAGGAUCCGCGCGUUAUCCGGAUUUAUUGGGUUUACAGGGAGCGUAGAGGGGUUGUUAAGUCAGUUGUGAAAGUUUGCGGCUCAACCGUAAAAUUGCAAUUGAUACUGGCAGUCUUGAGUACAGUUGAGGUAGGCGGAAUUCGUGGUGUAGCGGUGAAAUGCUUAGAUAUCACGAAGAACUCCGAUUGCGAAGGCAGCUUACUAAACUGCCACUGACAUUGAUGCUCGAAAGUGUGGGUAUCAAACAGGAUUAGAUACCCGAGUAGUC